CGUGGGCAAUCUGCCCUUCACUCUGGGACAAGCCCUGGAAACGGGGUCUAAUACCGGAUAAUACUCUGUCCCGCAUGGGACGGGGUUGAAAGCUCCGGCGGUGAAGGAUGAGCCCGCGGCCUAUCAGCUUGUUGGUGGGGUAAUGGCCUACCAAGGCGACGACGGGUAGCCGGCCUGAGAGGGCGACCGGCCACACUGGGACUGAGACACGGCCCAGACUCCUACGGGAGGCAGCAGUGGGGAAUAUUGCACAAUGGGCGAAAGCCUGAUGCAGCGACGCCGCGUGAGGGAUGACGGCCUUCGGGUUGUAAACCUCUUUCAGCAGGGAAGAAGCGAAAGUGACGGUACCUGCAGAAGAAGCGCCGGCUAACUACGUGCCAGCAGCCGCGGUAAUACGUAGGGCGCAAGCGUUGUCCGGAAUUAUUGGGCGUAAAGAGCUCGUAGGCGGCUUGUCACGUCGGAUGUGAAAGCCCGGGGCUUAACCCCGGGUCUGCAUUCGAUACGGGCUAGCUAGAGUGUGGUAGGGGAGAUCGGAAUUCCUGGUGUAGCGGUGAAAUGCGCAGAUAUCAGGAGGAACACCGGUGGCGAAGGCGGAUCUCUGGGCCAUUACUGACGCUGAGGAGCGAAAGCGUGGGGAGCGAACAGGAUUAGAUACCCUGGUAGUCCACGCCGUAAACGUUGGGAACUAGGUGUUGGCGAC
Molecule: ribosomal RNA, 700 nt
Filed under: Streptomyces badius
Lineage: Bacteria; Bacillati; Actinomycetota; Actinomycetes; Kitasatosporales; Streptomycetaceae
Description: bacterial SSU rRNA
Rfam family: Bacterial small subunit ribosomal RNA
Source: RNAcentral